RNAcentral lists this unclassified non-coding RNA (284 nucleotides) under Hevea brasiliensis (rubber tree). The record is from RNAcentral. Lineage: Eukaryota; Viridiplantae; Streptophyta; Magnoliopsida; Malpighiales; Euphorbiaceae.
ACAGCCAGCCUCUCUCAUAUUUUAUUUCCCCAAUCACCUCUAUAAUAUAUUCAUGACUCAUACAGCCAAGCUGAAAGGAAAAUGAAAGUUCACGUUAAGCUUUCCUUUGAUUCUCUACUCUCUACCUGCUUGUGUGUGAGAUGGGUUUUCAUUUCUCUUAAAGUCUCCAUGGAAUCUUGAAGAUUUGUGAUUUUGCACCAAACCCAAUCUUUAUACGGUGAUGGUGUAAUAUGAUUAUAAUGAGUCAACAACAACCAAUCAUCGGCAACCACCUCUCAUCAAAG